GACGAACGCUGGCGGCGCGCUUAACACAUGCAAGUCGAACGGAAAGGCCUGCUUUCCCUUGUGGAUUGCGGGUACUCGAGUGGCGAACGGGUGAGUAACACGUGAGUGAUCUGCCCCCAACUUGGGUAUAAGCCUGGGAAACUGGGUCUAAUUCCCGAUAGGACUGCAGGGUGGUGCCUGUGGUGGAAAACGAUUUUCUAGUUGUUGGGGAUGAGCUCGCGGCCUAUCAGCUUGUUGGUGGGGUAAUGGCCUACCAAGGCGGCGACGGGUAGCCGGCCUGAGAGGGUGGACGGCCACAUUGGGACUGAGAUACGGCCCAGACUCCUACGGGAGGCAGCAGUGGGGAAUAUUGCACAAUGGGCGGAAGCCUGAUGCAGCGACGCCGCGUGGGGGAUGACGGCCUUCGGGUUGUAAACUCCUUUCGACCGCGAGGAAGCCACCUGGUUGGAAGGGUGGUGACGGUAGUGGUAGAAGAAGCACCGGCUAACUACGUG
Molecule: ribosomal RNA, 494 nt
Filed under: uncultured bacterium
Lineage: Bacteria
Description: partial 16S ribosomal RNA
Rfam family: Bacterial small subunit ribosomal RNA
Source: RNAcentral